This is a long non-coding RNA of Haliotis rubra (blacklip abalone), 963 nucleotides long. RefSeq lists it as uncharacterized. The transcript is spliced from 3 exons. Lineage: Eukaryota; Metazoa; Mollusca; Gastropoda; Lepetellida; Haliotidae. The record is from RefSeq and is a predicted model, not a curated record.
GACAGUACCCUAACACCAGUUUUGACAGAAGUAGCUCAACUUCACAGGACUCUCACAAGGGAGAUAUAUGACUGUGUCUACCUGAUUGUCACGCAAGAUACACUGAAGCUCCGGCCUGUUCCUGAGGGAUGUGUCAUGUCCAACCUGGAGGCUGAUCAUACUGCUCUGGUAGAUUCCACGUGGGACUUACGCAAUGGAGACGUGUCUAAGGAUUACAUUAGACAUCUGAUAACCACACUUCCUUCCACCUGUUUAUACAAUCAGGAGGGGGAGGUGAUGGGAUACGCCCUUACCUAUCACUACGGGUGUCUGGGGGUACUGUACGUGCCCCAAAACCACAGAGGAAAGGGGUACGGAAAGGUCGCCAUGUCUCAUCUCGUUCAGAAGCAUCUGGAAAAGAGGAAGGAGGUGCUUGUCAUGAUACAGCGUGAAAAUAUACCAUCUAUUAAGAUGCAUGAAGAAGCUAAUAUAUGAUACAAGCUGGACUGGGAGUUCAGUUAUCCAAGAUGGAGAUACUGACCACAAGUAAGGGAGGUUUGAAAGUGAGUUAUGAAGAAUAUUUGUAUUCGAAGCAUUCCUCAAGGAAUAAGAAAAUCUGGUGGAAGUGCACCAAGCGAUCCAGCACAAAAUGCAGAGGCAGCUUGAUUACCAAUCUUGACAAGAGUGUCCUUAGCUUGGUAUUGCACACAAUCAUGCACCAGACAACAACCAAGUAGCCCUAACCAUAAUUCGCAAUGCCAUGAGAGACCAAGCUGCCAAAACCAGACAACCAGGCCAGAUUUUUGCCCAGACGGUCCUGUCCUGCAAUCCUGAAGUUCGCGCCAUGCUUCCAACGAAGCAACGAUCUUCAAUCAAUCAAUCAAUCUUUAUUCUCUUUUAACCACCCACGGUGGAACAAGAGCAUAGGAUAUAUAGUAUACAUAAAUUGCAUUGCAUUGUUGGAAGAUCGUUGCAUAAUUUACA